This is a long non-coding RNA of Argiope bruennichi, 621 nucleotides long. RefSeq lists it as uncharacterized. The transcript has 2 exons. The record is from RefSeq and is a predicted model, not a curated record. NCBI's taxonomy places the organism in Eukaryota, Metazoa, Arthropoda, Arachnida, Araneae, Araneidae.
GCCAAAGGCGAACGUAGGCAUUUAAGGCAAUGCACGUUAUGAUUAUGAUGAUGAUGCAAGUCUAAGUUAACGCUGCUUAGCUUAACUUCAACAGGAUUAGUUUGUUGAUGCAUAAGCACUCCAAUUUAAAAGUCCAUUUUUAGAUAGAUAUCGACCUAAUCUAACAAGCUGAAAUAAAAAAGUUAUUUACGCUGUGUCUUAGACUCAUCCAUGGAUUUCGUCAUUGUGAAUGAGUUCUUUCAGUGCUCCGAGAAUCCUCUACAAUGACAACCUGAAUCAACUUCCUAGCUCGAAACGUUUCUGCGCUACACCGAUUUAAAAUUUUACUCAAAGGGAAUUCGUGAUUGUCACGUGCAUGCACUAACACUUGUGUGAUAUGUCACGGGCAAACCACAUCCUAUGAGCGACAAACACAAAUCAACGACAAACCAUCCUACAAUGACAAAAACAAGAUCUAUAUGUCAAAGAUUCAACCAUCGUUUACGAGUGACUAGUUUUGUACGUAAUAGCGAUUUAAAUUUGAUGGUGUUUUGUCACGCAAAACUAUCGACCGUUCACUACUAUAACGAGCGAGUUGACGGUUUCACAUCAAAAUAAAAUGACAAAAAAUUUAUGGUUUCA